RNAcentral lists this ribosomal RNA (253 nucleotides) under uncultured Anaerolineae bacterium. RNAcentral's name for it is "partial 16S ribosomal RNA". It matches the Rfam family "Bacterial small subunit ribosomal RNA", at positions 524 to 776 of the family's 1533-position model. The record is from RNAcentral. Lineage: Bacteria; Bacillati; Chloroflexota; Anaerolineae.
AACGUAGGAGGCAAGCGUUAUCCGGAUUUACUGGGCGUAAAGCGCGUGCAGGUGGUCUCGUAAGUCGGACGUGAAAGCUCCCGGCUCAACUGGGAGAGGUCGUUCGAUACUGCAAGACUGGAGGGCAGUAGAGGGAGGUGGAAUUCCGGGUGUAGCGGUGAAAUGCGUAGAUAUCCGGAGGAACACCAGUGGCGAAGGCGGCCUCCUAGGCUGUCCCUGACGCUAAGACGCGAAAGCUAGGGGAGCGAACGGG